CAUUUCUUUCUAAUAAUACUUGAUUCCUAAAAUAAAUUUUUUACAUUAAAUUUGACUACAUUUAUAAAUAUUAUAUACAUUGAACUCAAUUUCAUUGAAAUUAAACCAUUCGAAAGCUCUAUGAUAAACAAUUGGCACACGACAGUCGUUGAUUUCGACUUUUUCGACAACUUAACCUCAAAUCCGGAUUAAAUAAUCGAUAGUCGUUUUCCUUAUCUGGUAAACUAUUUGAACGACAACGAUUCAUUGUUCGUCUUGCAGAUCCUGUGUUCAUGUAACAAAGGCAACAGUUUCUCGUUUGGUGAAAAUACAAAACCGGUCACGAGGUAGAACGAGUGAAUGAAUCGAUUUCGCAAUUGUACCAGAUGCUGAACUCUCUUGUGUCACACUGGAUAUUUGAAACCUUGUUACCGGUUCGGAUCAAUUAGAUUUGCGAUUAUUGCACUGAAACUAAUCGUGGAUAUAUCGCUGUUUGUAGGAAGAAAAUGUUUAGAGAGUUGUUUAUCGUAGACGCGAUUGUGAUUUUGUACGAAUAAAGAGAGAUAGAGAGAACAGGAAUAUAUUUAUAAAUAAUUACGUGGAAAAUCAAGAGAUAAUGAUAAAAUUUAAAAACACAUAAAUAUAUGGAUUCAUGAUCUAUUCAUAUCCAUAUUCAAAUGUUUCUGAAUCUAUCUGUGAGAUACUUGAUCCCAUCGCUACAAUGAUAGCUCGAAUAGGAGGAAACAGAGAAGAGAAGAUCGGUCAGUUCUCCCUGUGUCGGUGUUCGCGCCACAGAUUGCAUCAGCACGCCCUUAAUCCUAUUAUGACUAAGUAAUGACUCCUUAGUAUGCCGACUCGAGAACCGUAAAAAUGUUGUGUCAGAUGCUAUCUGACUGGUUGUCGUUUGGUAAUUUACCAUACGUCCAGCAUCGGCUAAAGGUCCAUUUGCUAAUUUGUUGAAAAAGUGACAUAACUCAAAAUUUGCAUUUAUCGAAUUCUUUGUCACGAAGAACGAACAUUGCUUAAGAAGCAUCAAGCAAUCACCGAAGAGAAACAGAAAGAGAGAAAGAGGGAGAAGGAACGAUGGUAUUUAUAGGUCGUUCGAAUUCUAUGGACCUCGAAGGGAACACGACAAGUAAUAAGUUUCGUUUAAGUCUGAGCAACCAGAUAACGAUCGGAAUUUUGCGGCGAGAAAAGAGAAAAUCGAAGGAGAAGGAAAGAUUGUGUAUCCAAUCUACUUGUAAUUAUAUGCGACGGAAUCUGGUAUGUAAGGAUUGUUUAACGGUAAACGAUGAAUUGGUGCAAAUAGCAGAACUGAACAGCUACUUAACGAAAUUACCGUGAACCAUCUGAUUAAGGGGAUUGCUUUGAAGUACACGUGUGUAUUAUGCAAUAAGCGAUGAACAAGAGAAUAUAUUCAUCAGAUAUUGCGUUUCUUGAACAGAAGUUAUACAUAGAUGAAUGAAUGGAGAUGAAUUGUAUGGAUGAUUCUUCGAAAAGAGUUAUUGUAGAGAGUAACAUGUGUUGGAGAGAUAUUGAAUAGUAAAGUGAAAAACUGUGAAGUAAAUAAUUGAAUACAAUAAAGAUAUAAUUAUAAUCAAGUAAGAAUUUUUGGUGAAUGUUGAAAGAAGGAGAAGAGUUAAAAAAAUUGAAUGAAAAAAUACUGUUAUUAGGCCAAUCAAUAUUUAAAUAAAGUUGAUGCAUUGAUGAAAAAGAAAAUUACUGUAAUUAAGGGAUAAAAAAACAUCAAAGUCGCAAUGAGAAUCGUAAAGACGAGCCAACAGAACCAUAAAAGCAACGCAGAACUGUAAAUCUAAUAUCUCGUAAAAUUCUGGUUCCAUCAUCAACGAUUAGAAAUGAUUCUCGAGAGCUUCUUAAUAACGAAUGAUCCCAAAUCCAUCAAAACUCGGAACAACGAAAAUACUCUAUCCUAUCCGUGAAGAAAGGAGUCUUCGAAAAAAAUAUGUAAAAAGGUCUACCAGAAACCAGUUCAGAUUUAUCGCUUCCGGUAUAAUGAAAAAUAUGAAGCAAAUUAACAUGGCCAAGUAAUAUUGUUACGAUGAUUUAUGGGUGAAAACACGAGGAAGCUGUCCAACGUCAUUUCAAGCGGCAAAGAGAAUGCGAAUUUGCAAGAAACUAAGCCGACUGCAUACCAACGAGCCUCAAACCCAAGAAAGCUGAUCUUUCUGCAAUAUCUUCACCGCCUUAAUUCCCUGCGAAUCUCGUGAAAAAAAGGCGCGAACAUCGUCCAAAGGGAUUUAAACGGCUAUUUAUCCUCGUUCGGUUUGGUUUGGUUAGUGGGAAACGAGUUUUCGAUAGGUCGUUUUCGAUGUUCGAGUGCCUUGAAUCCUCGAGCAAAGUUAAGUGGAGGAUCGAGGAUUAAGGCGUUUAAAAAUUUUUAUACUGAAAUUUGUU
Long non-coding RNA from Apis florea (little honeybee), 2394 nucleotides. NCBI's taxonomy places the organism in Eukaryota, Metazoa, Arthropoda, Insecta, Hymenoptera, Apidae. The record is from RefSeq and is a predicted model, not a curated record.